Picea glauca (white spruce) is the source of this 124-nucleotide non-coding RNA. Lineage: Eukaryota; Viridiplantae; Streptophyta; Pinopsida; Pinales; Pinaceae. The record is from Rfam.
CUCUGCACACUUGUCAACGAUGCUCCUGCAUCAGAUCCCAUCAUAACUCCACAGUUAAAUGUGUUUGGGCUAGAGUAUAACUGGGAUGGGUGACCUCCCCUGAAUUCCUAGUGUUUUACAUGCC